UUAAUGCCUACUUUAUGAUUCUGCUUUCUUUAACGCUCACUGACUUCUUAUCUAACAGACAUUUCAUCUCUUAAUGUUUGCCAACCCCCGAUGCAUGUGUGUCCUUUUAUCAACCACAAGGACAUUCCACCAUAUCUCCUCUUUACCAGCCAUGGCAUGUCUUCUUCCUUCCUUCAUUUGUUUUUGCUCUGUUUCCCCCCCUUUCACCCCUCCAUGUUAUAUCCGCUCCCACAUUUCCUUCUUGUUUUAUAUCUGGGUCCCUUAUUCCCUCCUAUUGUGUGC
Non-coding RNA from Pelobates cultripes (western spadefoot toad), 282 nucleotides. The record is from the annotation of a GenBank genome assembly. Lineage: Eukaryota; Metazoa; Chordata; Amphibia; Anura; Pelobatidae.